Molecule: ribosomal RNA, 877 nt
Filed under: uncultured eukaryote
Lineage: Eukaryota
Description: SSU rRNA
Rfam family: Eukaryotic small subunit ribosomal RNA
Source: RNAcentral
CGGUGUUCAACUGGCGUGUCCGCGGGACGUCCUGCCGGUGGGCUUAGCCCGCAAGGGCGGCCCAACUUCAAAUCCCAUCGCGGUGCUCUUCACUAAGUGUCGAGGUGGGCCGGCACGUUUACUUUGAACAAAUUAGAGUGCUUAAAGCAGGCUAAAACUUCGCCUGAAUACUGUGUGCAUGGAAUAAUGGAAUAGGACCUCGGUUCUAUUUUGUUGGUUUUCGGAACCCCGAGGUAAUGAUUAAUAGGAACGGAUGGGGGCAUUCGUAUUGCGACGUUAGAGGUGAAAUUCUUGGAUCGUCGCAAGACGGACAGAAGCGAAAGCAUUUGCCAAAAACGCUUUCAUUGAUCAAGAACGAAAGUUAGAGGUUCGAAGGCGAUCAGAUACCGCCCUAGUUCUAACCAUAAACGAUGCCAGCUAGCGAUCCGUCGACGUUCCUCCGAUGACUCGACGGGCAGCUUCCGGGAAACCAAAGCUUUUGGGUUCCGGGGGAAGUAUGGUUGCAAAGCUGAAACUUAAAGGAAUUGACGGAAGGGCACCACCAGGAGUGGAGCCUGCGGCUUAAUUUGACUCAACACGGGAAACCUCACCAGGCCCGGACACCGGAAGGAUUGACAGAUUGAGAGCUCUUUCUUGAUUCGGUGGGUGGUGGUGCAUGGCCGUUCUUAGUUGGUGGAGCGAUUUGUCUGGUUAAUUCCGAUAACGAACGAGACUCUAGCCUGCUAACUAGGCGUAUUUUCGACAUCUCAAAGGUCCGUCGUCCCGGCCCUCGGGUCGUGGGCGUGCGCGAUUUUUACUGUCGGCGUACUAUCAAUUCUUCUUAGAGGGACAGGUGGCUUCUAGCCGCACGAGAUUGAGCAAUAACAGGUCUGUGAUG